GAUGAACGCUGGCGGCGUGCCUAAUACAUGCAAGUCGAGCGAACAGACGAGGAGCUUGCUCCUCUGACGUUAGCGGCGGACGGGUGAGUACCACGUGGAUAACCUACCUAUAAGACUGGGAUCACUUCGGGAAACCGGAGCUAACACCGGAUAAUAUAUUGAACCGCAUGGUUCAAUAGUGAAAGACGGUUUUGCUGUCACUUAUAGAUGGAUCCGCGCCGCAUUAGCUAGUUGGUAAGGUAACGGCUUACCAAGGCAACGAUGCGUAGCCGACCUGAGAGGGUGAUCGGCCACACUGGAACUGAGACACGGUCCAGACUCCUACGGGAGGCAGCAGUAGGGAAUCUUCCGCAAUGGGCGAAAGCCUGACGGAGCAACGCCGCGUGAGUGAUGAAGGUCUUCGGAUCGUAAAACUCUGUUAUUAGGGAAGAACAAAUGUGUAAGUAACUAUGCACGUCUUGACGGUACCUAAUCAGAAAGCCACGGCUAACUACGUG
Molecule: ribosomal RNA, 497 nt
Filed under: uncultured bacterium
Lineage: Bacteria
Description: partial 16S ribosomal RNA
Rfam family: Bacterial small subunit ribosomal RNA
Source: RNAcentral